Molecule: ribosomal RNA, 468 nt
Filed under: uncultured bacterium
Lineage: Bacteria
Description: partial 16S ribosomal RNA
Rfam family: Bacterial small subunit ribosomal RNA
Source: RNAcentral
GACGAACGCUGGCGGCGUGCUUAACACAUGCAAGUCGAACGGAAAGGCCCUGCUUUUGUGGGGUGCUCGAGUGGCGAACGGGUGAGUAACACGUGAGUAACCUGCCCUUGACUUUGGGAUAACUUCAGGAAACUGGGGCUAAUACCGGAUAGGAGCUCCUGCUGCAUGGUGGGGGUUGGAAAGUUUCGGCGGUUGGGGAUGGACUCGCGGCUUAUCAGCUUGUUGGCGGGGUAGUGGCUUACCAAGGCUUUGACGGGUAGCCGGCCUGAGAGGGUGACCGGCCACAUUGGGACUGAGAUACGGCCCAGCCUCCUACGGGAGGCAGCAGUGGGGAAUAUUGCACAAUGGGCGGAAGCCUGAUGCAGCAACGCCGCGUGCGGGAUGACGGCCUUCGGGUUGUAAACCGCUUUCGCCUGUGACGAAGCGUGAGUGACGGUAAUGGGUAAAGAAGCACCGGCUAACUACGUG